CCCUUAGAUGUCCGGGGCUGCACGCGCGCUACACUGAAUGAAUCAGCGUGCUAGAAAACCUUGUUUGACAUGGCUAGGUAACCCAUUGAAAAUCAUUCGUGAUUGGGAUCGGGACUUGCAAAUGUGUCCCUUGAACGAGGAAUUCCCAGUAAGUGCGGGUCAUCAGCUCGCGUUGAUUACGUCCCUGCCCUUUGUACACACCGCCCGUCGCACCUACCGAUUGGAUGGUCCGGUGAAGCCUCGGGAUUGUGGUUCUUGCCGCUUUAUUGUGGCGUGACCGCGAGAACUUGUCUAAACCUUAUCAUCUAGAGGAAGGUGAAGUCGUAACA
RNAcentral lists this ribosomal RNA (329 nucleotides) under uncultured eukaryote. Its description in RNAcentral is "partial 18S ribosomal RNA". It matches the Rfam family "Eukaryotic small subunit ribosomal RNA", at positions 1470 to 1796 of the family's 1831-position model. The record is from RNAcentral.